GGAAUUUUGGACAAUGGGCGCAAGCCUGAUCCAGCAAUGCCGCGUGAGUGAAGAAGGCCUUCGGGUUGUAAAGCUCUUUUGUCAGGGAAGAAACGGUUCCGGCUAAUAUCCGGGGCUAAUGACGGUACCUGAAGAAUAAGCACCGGCUAACUACGUUCCAGCAGCCGCGGUAAUACGUAGGGUGCAAGCGUUAAUCGGAAUUACUGGGCGUAAAGUGUGCGCAGGCGGUUUUGUAAGUCUGAUGUGAAAUCCCCGGGCUCAACCUGGGAAUUGCAUUGGAGACUGCAAGGCUAGAAUCUGGCAGAGGGGGGUAGAAUUCCACGUGUAGCAGUGAAAUGCGUAGAGAUGUGGAGGAACACCGAUGGCGAAGGCAGCCCCCUGGGUCAAGAUUGACGCUCAUGCACGAAAGCGUGGGGAGCAAACAGG
RNAcentral lists this ribosomal RNA (426 nucleotides) under uncultured bacterium. RNAcentral's name for it is "bacterial SSU rRNA". It matches the Rfam family "Bacterial small subunit ribosomal RNA", at positions 358 to 776 of the family's 1533-position model. The record is from RNAcentral.